CGUCGUAUGACGUACAGACGUUAAUCAGGACGUACGACCAGACGCGGCAGCGUCAACAAUCUAGAGGCGGCAAAAAGGAAAGAAAAGAAGACCAGCGGUCAUAAAUGCAUCUGGAUUUGACUGUUGCCCGUUCUGGAUUUGACUGUUGCUACAAUUUCCUCUGCUGGGUUCGCUUGAUCAACAUCUGGAUUUGACUGUUGCCCGUUCUGGAUUUGACUGUUGCUACAAUUUCCUCUGCUGGGUUCGCUUGAUCAAAACAAAAAUGAAUAGAAAGACUGUGCCUGUCUCCUUAUCAGCCUUAAGACGAAGGACACGUGCAGACGUUCAAAAAAGGCUUAAUCAAAUUAGGACAGACAUGACUGACAUGACAGGAAUAGGGGCAGAUGACAGAGUUCUUUCUGAGAACACUGCCCAACCCUCUUCAGGUGCACAUGCAAUGCCAGAGGUGCAAGUUCUUACUGAAGAGGACAU
Molecule: long non-coding RNA, 471 nt
Organism: Anoplopoma fimbria (sablefish)
Lineage: Eukaryota; Metazoa; Chordata; Actinopteri; Perciformes; Anoplopomatidae
Exons: 4
Source: RefSeq, a predicted model, not a curated record